CCAAAAAUAUAGCCCCCCCCCUCUUUUCUACCCCCUAACCCAAACCAAAAUAUUUUGACAACCUAGUAAAGAAGAUUAAAAAACUUUUAAGAGCAAUAAACAUGUACCGCAAGGGAAAUCUGAAAUAAAAAUGAAAUAAAUUUUAAGUAUAAAAAAGUAAAGACCAACCCUUGUACCUUUUGCAUCAUGGUUUAGCUAGUCUAACUAGGCAAAAAGCCCCUUAAGUCUAACUUCCCGAAACUACGUGAGCUAUUUUAGGGCCGCUUAAUGAGCCCACCCGUCUAUGUUGCAAAAUAGUGGGAAGACCUUAAAAUAGAGGUGACAGACCUAACGAACUUAGUUAUAGCUGGUUUCUCAAGAAAAGAAUCUUAGUCCCACCUAAAGUAACGCAAAUCCAUACAAAUAACCCCAUUACUUUAGAGCAAUUCAAAUAAGGUACAGCCUAUUUGAUACAGGAUACAACCUUUAUUAACGGGUAACACUUACUCACACCUACAAGUAGGCCUAAAAGCAGCCACCUUUUGAAAAGCGUCACAGCUUAACUGUGCUCAACUUAAUUCCUAAGCCCCCAUCGACCCCUUCAGUUGUACUGAGAACCUCUAUAACACUAUAGAACCUUUAAUGCUAAAACUAGUAACAAGAGAUAACUCCUCUCCAUAAUGCAAGUUUAAGCCAACAAGGGCCCCCCACUGGCAAUUAACAAACCAAAACAGUACCCCUCCCUGAAAAUCCUGCUUUUCUCAACUGUUAAUCUUACACUAGCGCAUUUCAGGAAAGAUUUUUUAAAAAAGAAGGAACUCGGCAAAGACUAGCCCCGCCUGUUUACCAAAAACAUCGCCUCUUGCCCUCAUAAGAGGUCCAGCCUGCCCAGUGACUCUUGUUUAACGGCCGCGGUAUCCUAACCGUGCAAAGGUAGCGUAAUCACUUGUUUUCUAAAUAAAGACUAGUAUGAAAGGCACCACGAGGGCUAAACUGUCUCCUUUUUUUAAUCAGUGAAUCUAAUCUCCCCGUGAAGAAGCGGGGAUUCUUAUAUAAGACGAGAAGACCCCAUGGAGCUUAAAACAUCAUAACACCUGCCAUUACACCUUCCCUGUUCCGGGCAUUUCUCUUAAUAGGCACACUGAUUAUAUGUUUUUGGUUGGGGCGACCGCGGAGAAAAACCUAUCCUCCCCGAUGAAAGGGAAUUUCCCUAAACAAUAAGCCACAACUUUAUGUAUCAACAAAUUGACAUUUAUUGACCCGAUAUAUCGACUAACGAACCAAGUUACCCUGGGGAUAACAGCGCAAUCCACUUCAAGAGCCCCUAUCGACAAGUGGGCUUACGACCUCGAUGUUGGAUCGGGGUACCCCAGUGGUGCAGCCGCUACUAAAGGUUCGUUUGUUCAACGAUUAAAACCCCACGUGAUCUGAGUUCAGACCGGAGCAAUCCAGGUCAGUUUCUAUCUAUAACAGAGCUUUUCUCAGUACGAAAGGACCAGAACAGCACGCCCAAUGCCCACGCAAGCCGUAGUUAACUAUUUCAGACACCCUCUC
This 1533-nucleotide ribosomal RNA is filed under the name Pristimantis thymelensis (Thymelen robber frog). RNAcentral's name for it is "partial 16S ribosomal RNA". It matches the Rfam family "Bacterial large subunit ribosomal RNA", at positions 373 to 2925 of the family's 2925-position model. Lineage: Eukaryota; Metazoa; Chordata; Amphibia; Anura; Strabomantidae. The record is from RNAcentral.